Mustela erminea (ermine) is the source of this 88-nucleotide long non-coding RNA. RefSeq lists it as uncharacterized. Lineage: Eukaryota; Metazoa; Chordata; Mammalia; Carnivora; Mustelidae. The transcript has 3 exons. The record is from RefSeq and is a predicted model, not a curated record.
GAAUGGGAGAAGAUAUUUGCAAAUGACUUAUUUGAUAAAGAGUUAGUACUCCAAAUCUGUAAAGAAAUAAUCAAACUCAACAACCAAA